GAUGAACGCUGGCGGCGUGCCUAAUACAUGCAAGUCGAGCGAAUGGAUUAAGAGCUUGCUCUUAUGAAGUUAGCGGCGGACGGGUGAGUAACACGUGGGUAACCUGCCCAUAAGACUGGGAUAACUCCGGGAAACCGGGGCUAAUACCGGAUAACAUUUUGAACCGCAUGGUUCGAAAUUGAAAGGCGGCUUCGGCUGUCACUUAUGGAUGGACCCGCGUCGCAUUAGCUAGUUGGUGAGGUAACGGCUCACCAAGGCAACGAUGCGUAGCCCACGAGAGAGGGAAAUCAGCCGGACUGGGACGGGGACACGGGCAAGACUACCUAGUGAGGCAGCUGUAGGGAAACUUCCGCAAUGGACGAAAGUCUGACGGUGCAAGGCCGCGUGGGUGAUGAAGGCUUUCGGGUCGUAAAACUCUGUUGUUAAGGAAGAACAAGUGCUAGUUGAAUAAGCUGGCACCUUGACGGGACCGAACCAGAAAGCCACGGCUAACAACGUGCCAGCCGCCGCAGUAA
RNAcentral lists this ribosomal RNA (515 nucleotides) under uncultured bacterium. RNAcentral's name for it is "partial 16S ribosomal RNA". It matches the Rfam family "Bacterial small subunit ribosomal RNA", at positions 28 to 523 of the family's 1533-position model. The record is from RNAcentral.